This 406-nucleotide ribosomal RNA is filed under the name uncultured bacterium. Its description in RNAcentral is "partial 16S ribosomal RNA". It matches the Rfam family "Bacterial small subunit ribosomal RNA", at positions 30 to 526 of the family's 1533-position model. The record is from RNAcentral.
AUUGAACGCUGGCGGCAGGCCUAACACAUGCAAGUCGAACGAGCGGCGGACGGGUGAGUAAUGACUGGGAAACUGCCUGAUGGAGGGGGAUCACUACUGGAAACGGUAGCUUAUACCGCAUACCAUCAGAUGUGCCCAGAUGGGUUUGGCUAGUUGGUGGGGUAACGGCUCACCAAGGCGACGAUCCCUAGCUGGUCUGAGAGGAUGACCAGCCACACUGGAACAGAGACACGGUCCAGAGUCCUACGAGAGGCAGCAGGGGGGAAUAUUGCACAAUGGGCGCAAGCCUGAUGCAGCCAGGCCGCGUGUAUGAAGAAGGCCUUCGGGUUGUAAAGUACUUUCAGCGGGUAGGCGUUACCCGCAGAAGAAGCACCGGCUAACUACGUGCCAGCAGCCGCGGUAAUUC